UAUCAUAAAUAACAGAAGAUAAGGGAGAAAAUGGGUCUGCGAACGCCAUGCAGCUACCUCGAUAACUCCGAUGAAAACUGAACAGCAGAAAACUCGCUCUAUGCAUCAGGAAUACCUGUACCUGCACACAUGGUACAGGGAGUAAUGUGAGUACUCCGACCCAGUGAGUAAUAAAUAUAAAUAAUGACUGAAGGUAAGAAAACACGUUAAGGCACACAACAUUCUAUACAGAAGCAGUGAAAUCAUUUAAAAUAAUAAUUCAGUGAAAUAUCAUGUGAAAUUACUUUUAAACCAGUAAAACAGGUAAUUUGGUAGUAAAAUGACAAGUAAAAACCUGCCCUUCGGGCUCAAUAUCAAAACAACAAGUAGAAAUCUGCCCCUCGGGAUCAGUAUCAAAAUAACAAGUAGAAAUCUGCCACUCGGGCUCAGUAUCAAAAUAAUAAGUAGAAAUCGGCCCCUCGGGCUCAGUAUCUCAGAACAAUAUCAGUCCCUCAGGCUCAGAACAGUAUGAAGCAACCAGUCAAUGAAAUAAGAGCACAUAAUUAUUAUGGCAGAUAAUGCAGAUAAGGAAUAAAUGCAUGAGUGCAAUGCAAUUCAUAUGACAGUACCCUAUGGUACCCACUGCGGCGUGCAGACCGAGCCAUCCUUAUUUAUUUAUCGUCGAGACGCUCAAUGGGGGUGUGUACAGACUCCGGAGGGGCUCCUACAGCCCAAGCGCAAUAUCAAGCCAUCUCGUGGCAUCAAAUCUAGGCCCUCGGCCUCAUAUCAAUAUAAGUAUAAUCACCCAGGCUCUCGGCCUCAAUAUCAAUGUAAUCAACCAGGCUCUCGGCCUCAAUAUCAAUGUAAUCAACUAGGCUCUCGGCCUCAAUAUCAAUGUAACACUGUUGCGGCGCGCAGCCCGAUCCAUGCUCAGUCCAGAAAUCAUCAUAAGCCCCUUGGGCAUUCGUAAAACAAUAGUUCUCAGCCCGAAAUAUCAUUUAGAAAUAUCAUUUAAGUUUUCAAAUCUUAGAAAUAUGGCUGAGUUUGCAACACAGUAUUUAAAACCUUGGACUGAGAUCAAAUGAUAUGCAAAAUAUGUGAAAACAUUGAUAUCAAUCCCUGAAGGAUUCAAAUAAUUGGCAAGAAGCCCAAAUGUAACAAUCAAAUCUAAGUAAGGAUGAUUCUCAUUUUAGUUCAAGUAAAAAACACGGUAAAAAAACAUCUCUCGGGACGGACCAAGUCACAAUCCCCAAUGGUGCUCUACCCCACGCCCGUUAUCUGGCGUGCAAGUCACCUCAAUAUAGCAUUAUGAUGUGAAAUUCCGGGGUUUCAAACCCUCAGGACAUCAUUUACAUCAAUUACUCACCUCAAACCGGCUAUUUCUUUAAUUCGCGAUGCCUUUGCCCCCCGAAUUGGCCUCUCCGUGCGUCGAAUCUAUCCAAAAUUAGAACGAAUAUGUCACAUUAUGUUGUAGGAACAAUACCCAAUCGAAAAUAACUGAAAAACAUCAAAAUCCCGAAAUUUGGCAAAACCUGAGCCCCGGGCCCACUUUUCUAAAUUCAGAAAAAUUAACAUCAACGGAUUCCUUAUCUCUCCACGAGUCUAUACAUAUAAAAUUUACCAAAAUCGGAAAUCAACUCGACCCUCAAAUCUUCAAAUCUUAUUUUCAAAUCCCUAGGCCUAAAUCCCCAAUUUACUCCUCAAAAACAUGUAAUCUAGUCGGAUUAUUCGAUGAUAAUUCAACAUUAUGGAGUAGAAACGAUCAUAAGUGACUUACCUCAAGAUUUCCCGUGAUUUUUCGCUCAAAAUUGCCCAAAAUCAGAGCUUGGAACUAAGAAAAAAAAUGAAGAAAAUGGACUGCCCCUUUAACUGCACAGAAAUUUUCGGGGCACUGUUCACGCAUGCGGGGCACUGUUCUCGCAUGUGGGUACUGUUCACGCGUGUGGAUACUGUUCAC
This 1936-nucleotide long non-coding RNA is filed under the name Nicotiana tabacum (common tobacco). RNAcentral's name for it is "long non-coding RNA (NTAB_LNC019255)". The record is from RNAcentral. Lineage: Eukaryota; Viridiplantae; Streptophyta; Magnoliopsida; Solanales; Solanaceae.